UACGGAGGGUGCAAGCGUUAUCCGGAUUCACUGGGUUUAAAGGGUGCGUAGGCGGAUUGGUAAGUCCGUGGUGAAAUCUUCGAGCUUAACUCGGAAACUGCCGUGGAUACUAUCAGUCUUGAAUAUCGUGGAGGUAAGCGGAAUAUGUCAUGUAGCGGUGAAAUGCUUAGAGAUGACAUAGAACACCAAUUGCGUAGGCAGCUUACUACACGAAGAGUGACGCUGAAGCACGAAAGCGUGGGGAGCAAACAGG
This 253-nucleotide ribosomal RNA is filed under the name uncultured bacterium. RNAcentral describes it as "partial 16S ribosomal RNA". It matches the Rfam family "Bacterial small subunit ribosomal RNA", at positions 524 to 776 of the family's 1533-position model. The record is from RNAcentral.